RNAcentral lists this ribosomal RNA (504 nucleotides) under uncultured bacterium. Its description in RNAcentral is "partial 16S ribosomal RNA". It matches the Rfam family "Bacterial small subunit ribosomal RNA", at positions 29 to 523 of the family's 1533-position model. The record is from RNAcentral.
AUUGAACGCUGGCGGCAGGCCUAACACAUGCAAGUCGAACGGUAGCACAGAGAGCUUGCUCUCGGGUGACGAGUGGCGGACGGGUGAGUAACGUCUGGGAAACUGCCCGAUGGAGGGGGAUAACUACUGGAAACGGUAGCUAAUACCGCAUAACGUCGCAAGACCAAAGUGGGGGACCUUCGGGCCUCACACCAUCGGAUGUGCCCAGAUGGGAUUAGCUAGUAGGUGGGGUAAUGGCUCACCUAGGCGACGAUCCCUAGCUGGGCUGAGAGGGUGGCCAGCCAAACUGGAACUGAGACACGGUCCAGACACCUACGGGAGGCAGCAGUGGGGAAUAUUGCACAAUGGGCGCAAGCCUGAUGCAGCCAUGCCGCGUGUAUGAAGAAGGCCUUCGGGUUGUAAAGUACUUUCAGCGGGGAGGAAGGCGGUGAAGUUAAUAGCUUCACCGAUUGACGUUACCCGCAGAAGAAGCACCGGCUAACUCCGUGCCAGCCGCCGCGGUAA